RNAcentral lists this ribosomal RNA (210 nucleotides) under Chrysiptera rollandi (Rolland's demoiselle). RNAcentral describes it as "partial 16S ribosomal RNA". Lineage: Eukaryota; Metazoa; Chordata; Actinopteri; Pomacentridae. The record is from RNAcentral.
GCCCAGCAGCUAGCCCACCCAAUAAAACCAACAUCAAUUAUCAAUACCCCCUAAUUCUCUUCAACCCAUUAAACAAAACAUUUUUCCACCCUAGUACGGGCGACGGAAAAGGAACUAGGAGCUAUAGAGAAAGUACCGCAAGGGAAAGCUGAAAGAGAAAUGAAACAACCCAGUAAAGCCAAAAAAAGCAGAGACAGAGCCUCGUACCUU